This 253-nucleotide ribosomal RNA is filed under the name uncultured bacterium. RNAcentral describes it as "partial 16S ribosomal RNA". It matches the Rfam family "Bacterial small subunit ribosomal RNA", at positions 524 to 776 of the family's 1533-position model. The record is from RNAcentral.
UACGAAGGGUGCAAGCGUUAAUCGGAAUUACUGGGCGUAAAGCGUGCGUAGGUGGUUUGUUAAGUCUGCUGUGAAAGCCCUGGGCUCAACCUGGGAAUGGCGGUGGAUACUGACAAGCUAGAGUGCGGUAGAGGAGGGUGGAAUUCCCGGUGUAGCGGUGAAAUGCGUAGAGAUCGGGAGGAACAUCAGUGGCGAAGGCGGCCCUCUGGACCAGCACUGACGCUGAGGAGCGAAAGCCAGGGGAGCAAACGGG